GACGAACGCUGGCGGCGUGCUUAAUACAUGCAAGUAGAACGCUGAAGGGAGAGCUUGCUCUUCUGGAUGAGUUGCGAACGGGUGAGUAACGCGUAGGUAACCUGCCUGGUAGCGGGGGAUAACUAUUGGAAACGAUAGCUAAUACCGCAUAACAUUGACUAUUGCAUGAUAGUCAAUUGAAAGGUGCAAAUGCACCACUACCAGAUGGACCUGCGUUGUAUUAGCUAGUUGGUGGGGUAACGGCUCACCUAGGCGACGAUACAUAGCCGACCUGAGAGGGUGAUCGGCCACACUGGGACUGAGACACGGCCCAGACUCCUACGGGAGGCAGCAGUAGGGAAUCUUCGGCAAUGGACGGAAGUCUGACCGAGCAACGCCGCGUGAGUGAAGAAGGUUUUCGGAUCGUAAAGCUCUGUUGUAAGAGAAGAACGAGUGUGAGAGUGGAAAGUUCACACUGUGACGGUAUCUUACCAGAAAGGCGGCU
RNAcentral lists this ribosomal RNA (484 nucleotides) under Streptococcus cristatus. RNAcentral's name for it is "bacterial SSU rRNA". It matches the Rfam family "Bacterial small subunit ribosomal RNA", at positions 28 to 498 of the family's 1533-position model. The record is from RNAcentral. Lineage: Bacteria; Bacillati; Bacillota; Bacilli; Lactobacillales; Streptococcaceae.